RNAcentral lists this ribosomal RNA (460 nucleotides) under uncultured bacterium. Its description in RNAcentral is "partial 16S ribosomal RNA". It matches the Rfam family "Bacterial small subunit ribosomal RNA", at positions 338 to 795 of the family's 1533-position model. The record is from RNAcentral.
CCUACGGGUGGCAGCAGUGAGGAAUAUUGGUCAAUGGCCGUAAGGCUGAACCAGCCAAGUCGCGUGAAGGAAGAAGGAUCUAUGGUUUGUAAACUUCUUUUAUAGGGGAAUAAAGGUAUCUCCGUGUGGAUAUUUGCAUGUAUCCUAUGAAUAAGCAUCGGCUAACUCCGUGCCAGCAGCCGCGGUAAUACGGAGGAUGCGAGCGUUAUCCGGAUUUAUUGGGUUUAAAGGGUGCGUAGGUUGUUUUUUAAGUCAGCGGUGAAAGGUUGUGGCUCAACCAUAAAAUUGCCGUUGAAACUGGAAGACUUGAGAGUGGUUGAGGUAGGCGGAAUGCGAGGUGUAGCGGUGAAAUGCAUAGAUAUCACGCAGAACACCGAUUGCGAAGGCAGCUGACUAAGCCAUAACUGACACUGAAGCACGAAAGCGUGGGGAGCAAACAGGAUUAGAUACCCCAGUAGUC